RNAcentral lists this ribosomal RNA (294 nucleotides) under uncultured bacterium. Its description in RNAcentral is "partial 16S ribosomal RNA". It matches the Rfam family "Bacterial small subunit ribosomal RNA", at positions 775 to 1067 of the family's 1533-position model. The record is from RNAcentral.
GGAUUAGAUACCCUGGUAGUCCACGCCGUAAACGAUGUCGACUAGUUGUUGGAGAUCUUAGUAUCUUUGGUGACGAAGCUAACGCGAUAAGUCGACCGCCUGGGGAGUACGGCCGCAAGGUUAAAACUCAAAUGAAUUGACGGGGGCCCGCACAAGCGGUGGAGCAUGUGGUUUAAUUCGAAGCAACGCGAAGAACCUUACCUGGUCUUGACAUCCUGCGAACUUUCUAGAGAUAGAUGGGUGCCUUCGGGAGCGCAGUGACAGGUGCUGCAUGGCUGUCGUCAGCUCGUGCCG